AACGUAGGGGGCAAGCGUUGUCCGGAAUUACUGGGCGUAAAGGGCGCGUAGGCGGUUAUUUAAGUCAGAGGUGAAAACUCUGGGCUCAACUCAGAGCCUGCCUCUGAAACUGGGUGACUUGAGGGCAGGAGAGGGGAGUGGAAUUCCCAGUGUAGCGGUGAAAUGCGUAGAUAUUGGGAGGAACACCAGUGGCGAAGGCGACUCUCUGGCCUGUUACUGACGCUGAGGCGCGAAAGCGUGGGGAGCAAACGGGAUUAGAUACCCCGGUAGUCCACGCCGUAAACGAUGGGUGCUAGGUGUAGGAGGUAUCGACCCCUUCUGUGCCGUAGUUAACACAAUAAGCACCCCGCCUGGGGAGUACGGCCGCAAGGUUGAA
This 376-nucleotide ribosomal RNA is filed under the name uncultured Bacillota bacterium. RNAcentral's name for it is "bacterial SSU rRNA". It matches the Rfam family "Bacterial small subunit ribosomal RNA", at positions 524 to 898 of the family's 1533-position model. The record is from RNAcentral. Lineage: Bacteria; Bacillati; Bacillota.